CACUACUCCCUCCGUCCCAUA
RNAcentral lists this microRNA (21 nucleotides) under Corchorus olitorius. Its description in RNAcentral is "bdi-miR11". The record is from RNAcentral. Lineage: Eukaryota; Viridiplantae; Streptophyta; Magnoliopsida; Malvales; Malvaceae.